Molecule: transfer RNA, 55 nt
Filed under: Thalassiosira minuscula
Lineage: Eukaryota; Bacillariophyta; Thalassiosirophyceae; Thalassiosirales; Thalassiosiraceae
Description: partial tRNA
Rfam family: tRNA
About the family: Transfer RNA (tRNA) molecules are approximately 80 nucleotides in length. Their secondary structure includes four short double-helical elements and three loops (D, anti-codon, and T loops).
Source: RNAcentral
UCUAUCGGUUAGGACGCCAGAUUUUCAUUCUGGAAAGAGGGGUUCGAUUCCCCUA